This 777-nucleotide ribosomal RNA is filed under the name uncultured organism. RNAcentral describes it as "SSU rRNA". It matches the Rfam family "Bacterial small subunit ribosomal RNA", at positions 44 to 792 of the family's 1533-position model. The record is from RNAcentral.
GGGCCUAAUACAUGCAAGUCGAACGCUUCUUUCCUCCCUUUUGCUUGCACUCAAUUGGAAAGAGGAGUGGCGGACGGGUGAGUAACACGUGGGUAACCUACCCAUCAGAGGGGGAUAACACUUGGAAACAGGUGCUAAUACCGCAUAACAGUUUAUGCCGCAUGGCAUAAGAGUGAAAGGCGCUUUCGGGUGUCGCUGAUGGAUGGACCCGCGGUGCAUUAGCUAGUUGGUGAGGUAACGGCUCACCAAGGCCACGAUGCAUAGCCGACCUGAGAGGGUGAUCGGCCACACUGGGACUGAGACACGGCCCAGACUCCUACGGGAGGCAGCAGUAGGGAAUCUUCGGCAAUGGACGAAAGUCUGACCGAGCAACGCCGCGUGAGUGAAGAAGGUUUUCGGAUCGUAAAACUCUGUUGUUAGAGAAGAACAAGGACGUUAGUAACUGAACGUCCCCUGACGGUAUCUAACCAGAAAGCCACGGCUAACUACGUGCCAGCAGCCGCGGUAAUACGUAGGUGGCAAGCGUUGUCCGGAUUUAUUGGGCGUAAAGCGAGCGCAGGCGGUUUCUUAAGUCUGAUGUGAAAGCCCCCGGCUCAACCGGGGAGGGUCAUUGGAAACUGGGAGACUUGAGUGCAGAAGAGGAGAGUGGAAUUCCAUGUGUAGCGGUGAAAUGCGUAGAUAUAUGGAGGAACACCAGUGGCGAAGGCGGCUCUCUGGUCUGUAACUGACGCUGAGGCUCGAAAGCGUGGGGAGCAAACAGGAUUGGAUACCCUGGUA